GGACAGCCUUCUGAAAGGAAGAUUAAUACAAGAUGGCAUCAUGAGUUCGCAUGUUCACAUGAUUAAAGGUAUUCCGGUAGACGAUGGGGAUGCGUUCCAUUAGAUAGUAGGCGGGGUAACGGCCCACCUAGUCUUCGAUGGAUAGGGGUUCUGAGAGGAAGGUCCCCCACAUUGGAACUGAGACACGGUCCAAACUCCUACGGGAGGCAGCAGUGAGGAAUAUUGGUCAAUGGGCGCAGGCCUGAACCAGCCAAGUAGCGUGAAGGAUGACUGCCCUAUGGGUUGUAAACUUCUUUUAUAAAGGAAUAAAGUCGGGUAUGGAUACCCGUUUGCAUGUACUUUAUGAAUAAGGAUCGGCUAACUCCGUGCCAGCAGCCGCGGUAAUACGGAGGAUCCGAGCGUUAUCCGGAUUUAUUGGGUUUAAAGGGAGCGUAGAUGGAUGUUUAAGUCAGUUGUGAAAGUUUGCGGCUCAACCGUAAAAUUGCAGUUGAUACUGGAUAUCUUGAGUGCAGUUGAGGCAGGCGGAAUUCGUGGUGUAGCGGUGAAAUGCUUAGAUAUCACGAAGAACUCCGAUUGCGAAGGCAGCCUGCUAAGCUGCAACUGACAUUGAGGCUCGAAAGUGUGGGUAUCAAACAGGAUUAGAUACCCUGGUAGUCCACACGGUAAACGAUGAAUACUCGCUGUUUGCGAUAUACUGCAAGCGGCCAAG
RNAcentral lists this ribosomal RNA (709 nucleotides) under uncultured bacterium. RNAcentral's name for it is "bacterial SSU rRNA". It matches the Rfam family "Bacterial small subunit ribosomal RNA", at positions 141 to 851 of the family's 1533-position model. The record is from RNAcentral.